AUUGAACGCUGGCGGCAGGCCUAACACAUGCAAGUCGAGCGGUAACAGGAAGGAAGCUUGCUUUCUUUGCUGACGAGCGGCGGACGGGUGAGUAAUGCUUGGGAAUCUGCCCAGUAGUGGGGGACAACAGUUGGAAACGACUGCUAAUACCGCAUACACCCUACGGGGAAAAGGAGGGGACCUUCGGGCCUUCUGCGAUUGGAUAAGCCUAAGUGAGAUUAGCUAGUUGGUGAGGUAAUGGCUCACCAAGGCGACGAUCUUUAGCUGGUCUGAGAGGAUGAUCAGCCACACUGGAACUGAGACACGGUCCAGACUCCUACGGGAGGCAGCAGUGGGGAAUAUUGCACAAUGGAGGAAACUCUGAUGCAGCCAUGCCGCGUGUGUGAAGAAGGCUCUAGGGUUGUAAAGCACUUUCAGCGAGGAGGAACGGUUAGUAGUUAAUACCUGCUAGCUUUGACGUUACUCGCAGAAGAAGCACCGGCUAACUCCGUGCCAGCAGCCGCGGUAAUACGGAGGGUGCAAGCGUUAAUCGGAAUUACUGGGCGUAAAGCGCGCGUAGGCGGUUGAUUAAGUCAGAUGUGAAAGCCCAGGGCUCAACCUUGGAACUGCAUUUGAAACUGGUUAACUAGAGUUUUGUAGAGGGUGGUAGAAUUUCAGGUGUAGCGGUGAAAUGCGUAGAGAUCUGAAGGAAUACCAGUGGCGAAGGCGGCCACCUGGACAAUAACUGACGCUGAGGCGCGAAGGCGUGGGGAGCAAACGGGAUUAGAUACCCCGGUAGUCCACGCAGUAAACGAUGUCUAUUAGAAGUUUGUGGCUAUAUGCCGUGGGUUUCAAAGCUAACGCAUUAAAUAGACCGCCUGGGGAGUACGGCCGCAAGGUUAAAACUCAAAUGAAUUGACGGGGGCCCGCACAAGCGGUGGAGCAUGUGGUUUAAUUCGAUGCAACGCGAAGAACCUUACCAUCCCUUGACAUCCAGAGAAUCACCUAGAGAUAGAUGAGUGCCUUCGGGAACUCUGAGACAGGUGCUGCAUGGCUGUCGUCAGCUCGUGUUGUGAAAUGCUGGGUUAAGUCCCGCAACGAGCGCAACCCUUAUCCUUACUUGCCAGCGGGUUAUGCCGGGAACUUUAGGGAGACUGCCGGUGAUAAACCGGAGGAAGGUGGGGAUGACGUCAAGUCAUUAUGGCCCUUACGAGUAGGGCUACACACGUGCUACAAUGGCGAGUACAGAGGGAAGCGAGACAGUGAUGUGGAGCGGACCCCUUAAAGCUCGUCGUAGUCCGGAUCGGAGUCUGCAACUCGACUCCGUGAAGUCGGAAUCGCUAGUAAUCGCAAAUCAGAAUGUUGCGGUGAAUACGUUCCCGGGCCUUGUACACACCGCCCGUCACACCAUGGGAGUGGGCUGCACCGGAAGUAGAUAGCUUAACCUUCGGGAGGGCGUUUACCACGGUGUGAUU
This 1454-nucleotide ribosomal RNA is filed under the name uncultured prokaryote. RNAcentral describes it as "partial 16S ribosomal RNA". It matches the Rfam family "Bacterial small subunit ribosomal RNA". The record is from RNAcentral.